GACGAACGCUGGCGGCGUGCCUAAUACAUGCAAGUCGAACGCUGAAGCUUGGUGCUUGCACCGAGCGGAUGAGUUGCGCACGGGUGAGUAACGCGUAGGUAACCUGCCUGGUAGCGGGGGAUAACUAUUGGAAACGAUAGCUAAUACCGCAUAAGAGUAGAUGUUGCAUGACAUUUUCUUAAAAGGUGCAAUUGCAUCACUACCUGAUGGACCUGCGGUGUAUUAGCUAGUUGGUGAGGUAACGGCUCACCAAGGCAACGAUACAUAGCCGACCUGAGAGGGUGAUCGGCCACACUGGGACCGAGACAAGGCCCAGACUCCUACGGGAGGCAGCAGGAGGGAAUCUUCGGGAAUGGACGGAAGUCUGACCGAGCAACGCCGAGGGAGGGAAGAAGGUUGUCGGAUCGGAAAGCUCUGUUGUAAGGGAAGAACGAGGGUGAGAGUGGAAAGUUCACACUGUGACGGUAUCUUAUCAGAAAGCGACGGCUAACUACGUG
RNAcentral lists this ribosomal RNA (497 nucleotides) under uncultured bacterium. Its description in RNAcentral is "partial 16S ribosomal RNA". It matches the Rfam family "Bacterial small subunit ribosomal RNA", at positions 28 to 507 of the family's 1533-position model. The record is from RNAcentral.